ACCACCGGCNCAAGGCUCAGUAACACGUUGAUAAUCUACCCUUAGGUCUGGGAUACUCUCGGGAAACUGAGGUUAAACCCGGAUAGAAGAUUGAUGUUGGAAUGCACUUUCUUUUAAAAGCAAUGCCUAAGGAUGAGUCAGUGGCUGAUUAGGUNGAUGGUGAGGUAAUGGCUCACCAAGCCUGAGAUCAGUAGGGGGGAUGAGAGUCCUAGCCCCGAGAAGGGCACUGAGGUACUGGCCCUAGCACUAGGGUGUGCAGCAGGCGCGAAAACUUUACAAUGCGCGAAAGCGUGAUAAGGGUAUCCCAAGUGCAUUACUUAUGUAAUGCUUUUGCCAAGUGUAAAUAGCUUGGAGAAUAAGUGGUGGGCAAUACCGGUGCCAGCAGCCGCGGUAACACCGGAGCCACAAGUGGCGACCAUAUUUAUUGGGUCUAAAGCGUCUGUAGCAGGUUAUGUAAACUUCUUGUGAAAUUGUUGCGCUCAACGUAACAGCGAGCGAGAGGGACUGCAUAGCUAGGAACCGGGAGGGGGCAGAGGUACUUCAUGGGGAGCGGUAAAAUGCUAUAAUCCACGAAGGACCACCUGUGGCGAAGGCGUCUGCCUAGAACGGGUUCGACUGUGAAGGACGAAAGCUGAGGGAGCGAUCGGGAUUAGAUACCCCAGUAGUCUCAGCUGUAAACGCUGCGAGCUAUGUGUUGCGUGUUCUUAGGGGACACGCAGUGCCUAAGCGAAGGUGUUAAGCUCGCCACCUGGGAAGUACGGCCGCAAGACUGAAACUUAAAGGAAUUGGCGGGGGCUCACUACAAGGAGUGCGGCGUGCGGUUCAAUUGGAGUCAACGCCGGGA
Molecule: ribosomal RNA, 844 nt
Filed under: uncultured euryarchaeote
Lineage: Archaea; Methanobacteriati; Methanobacteriota
Description: bacterial SSU rRNA
Rfam family: Archaeal small subunit ribosomal RNA
Source: RNAcentral